RNAcentral lists this ribosomal RNA (252 nucleotides) under uncultured bacterium. RNAcentral's name for it is "partial 16S ribosomal RNA". It matches the Rfam family "Bacterial small subunit ribosomal RNA", at positions 524 to 776 of the family's 1533-position model. The record is from RNAcentral.
CACGUAGGGGGCGAGCGUUGUCCGGAAUUACUGGGCGUAAAGAGUACGUAGGCUGUUGUGUAAGUCAGAUGUAAAAGGCAUGGGCUUAACCUGUGUGUGCAUCUGAAACUGUACAACUGGAGAUGUAGAGAGGCAAGCGGAAUUCCCUGUGUAGCGGUGAAAUGCGUAGAUAUAGGGAAGAACACCAGUGGCGAAGGCGGCUUGCUAGCUACAUACUGACGCUGAGGUACGAAAGCCAGGGGAGCGAACCGG